This 231-nucleotide ribosomal RNA is filed under the name uncultured Entoloma. RNAcentral describes it as "partial 18S ribosomal RNA". It matches the Rfam family "Eukaryotic small subunit ribosomal RNA", at positions 1421 to 1651 of the family's 1831-position model. Lineage: Eukaryota; Fungi; Basidiomycota; Agaricomycetes; Agaricales; Entolomataceae. The record is from RNAcentral.
GGUCGGCGUCUAGCCGCCGGAAGUUUGAGGCAAUAACAGGUCUGUGAUGCCCUUAGAUGUUUUGGGCCGCACGCGCGCUACACUGACAGAGCCAGCGAGUUUUUUCCCUUGGCCGGAAGGUCUGGGUAAUCUUGUGAAACUCUGUCGUGCUGGGGAUAGAGCAUUGCAAUUAUUGCUCUUCAACGAGGAAUACCUAGUAAGCGUGAGUCAUCAGCUCGCGUUGAUUACGUC